UACCACAAAUAUUGCUCCAUAGAACCAAACAAGCCCGGCCCCUCUUACUCCUCCACGCCCACCACCACAACCACCACCUUCUCCUCUCCACUGCGUCCUUGUGAUCUCAGUAUAAGGUAAUAGCAAACAGAAUAGGAAAAGGAACAAGAUUCGCAGAGCCCGAUUCCUAUGCUCUGAUAAUUUAGUGACGCCCAGAGGAAGAGAAAAAAAUAGAAAGAGAGAGAAAUGGGAGGAGGAGAAAGAGGAGAAUACAGCGAUGAAAAUCAUAUGUUGAUAUCAAACAGUAACAGAGGAGAACACGACGAUGGUGGAGAGGACUUGGAAGAUCAAGGCAUCAUCAGUACGCCUAGUCGUCUCAGCAAAGGAGGAAGCGGCGGUGCUAUUAAGGAUCUCAUCCUCAAACAUUUGGAUCGAGGCCUUUCUGGUCGCCGUCUCUCCAGUUUCAAGCGUCUCGAUAGAGAUACUAACAGAGAUAUGUCGCUGCAUUCUCAUUCUCGUAAUCAUAGUCAUAAUCAUGAGGAUUUUGGCGGACAUCAUGGUGAUGAUGAUGAUGUUCUCGGGGAUAGCGCACCUCCCGAGUGGGUUUUGCUUCUUAUUGGUUGCCUUCUUGGCCUUGCCUCCGGUCUCUGUGUCGCUGCUUUUAAUAAAGGGGUUCACGUAAUACAUGAAUGGGCUUGGGCUGGGACUCCUAAUGAGGGUGCUGCAUGGCUUCGUCUACAGAGGUUGGCUGACACUUGGCAUCGAAUUCUUUUGAUACCAGUAACAGGGGGGGUUAUUGUUGGGAUGAUGCAUGGCUUAGUGGAAAUAUUAGACCAAAUAAGACAGACCAGUCCUUCCCAAAGACAAGGUGUUGAUUUGGUUGCUGGAGUUUUCCCCACGAUAAAGGCCAUUCAAGCUGCUGUUACUCUAGGUACAGGUUGUUCUUUGGGUCCUGAAGGCCCUAGUGUUGAUAUUGGAAAAUCGUGUGCCAAUGGACUUUUAUUAAUGAUGGAAAACAACAGAGAAAGGGAGAUUGCUCUUGUUGCAGCUGGUGCGGCAGGCGGGGUUGCUUCUUCAAUGCAGCUGUUGCUGGUUGUUUCUUUGCUAUUGAAACUGUGUUAAGGCCACGGCGUGCUGAAAAUUCACCUCCAUUCACAACUGCAAUGAUAAUAUUGGCUUCUGUUAUAUCAUCAACUGUAUCAAAUGUCUUACUUGGUACACAAUCAGCUUUUACAGUGCCACCUUAUGAUUUGAAAUCUGCUGCUGAAUUACCUUUGUACCUGAUCUUGGGCAUGCUCUGUGGUGUUGUAAGUGUGGCCUUUACUCGCUUGGUCUCUUGGUUCACCAAGUCAUUUCAGUUUAUCAAGGAAAAAUUUGCCCUUCCUGCUGUUGUUUGUCCUGCUUUAGGUGGUUUAGGAGCUGGGAUAAUCGCUCUCAGGUAUCCUGGGAUACUGUACUGGGGUUUCACAAAUGUUGAAGAAAUUUUACGUACCGGGAAGAGUGCUUCAGCUCCAGGAAUCUGGUUGUUAACCCAACUAGCAGUAGCCAAAGUUGUGGCUACAUCUCUUUGCAAAGGUUCAGGUCUUGUGGGUGGUCUUUAUGCACCAAGUUUGAUGAUUGGUGCUGCUAUUGGUGCUGUAUUUGGGGGUUCAGCUGCUGAAGUUAUCAAUUCGGCCAUUCCUGGAAAUGCUGCUGUUGCUCAGCCUCAGGCAUAUGCAUUGGUUGGAAUGGCUGCUACAUUAGCUUCAGUUUGUUCGGUGCCAUUGACAUCGGUUCUCCUUUUGUUUGAGUUGACGAAAGACUACAGGAUAAUUCUUCCCCUCAUGGGGGCUGUUGGAUUAGCAAUAUGGGUUCCUUCUGUGGCCAACCAGGCAAAAGAGACUGAAGCAUCUGAUACACAUGCUUUGACAAGAGGUUAUUCUUCUCUUUCAAAUUCUGAAGACAUGAAUGAAAUCUGGAGAAGAAUUGAUGGUGGAGAUGAUCUAGAACUCUCCAUCAUAGAAAAUACUUCUGAUCAUGAAGCAAUCAAUCAAGAUUGGCUUUUGGAAGAUCUGAAGGUUUCUAGGGCCAUGUCAAAGAACUAUGUUAAGGUUUCAUUUCAUUGGCCUCAACUCUGAAAGAAGCCAUAGAGUGUAUGCAUAACAGCAAGCAGAAUUGUGUGCUUGUGGUUGAUGAUGAAGAUUUACUGGAUGGAAUGCUAACAUAUGGUGACAUUAGGCGGCUGUCUAAUAAGUCUGAUGAAGCACCCAUAGGGGAUUCAACAAUUACAGAUGUAAAUACCUGUCUUGUUUCAUCUGUUUGUACCCGAGGGAUAAGCUACAGAGGCCAAGAUCGCGGGCUUUUGACCUGCUAUCCAGACACUGAUUUGGCAAUUGCCAAGGAGCUAAUGGAGGCCAAAGGGAUCAAGCAGUUGCCUGUUGUUCAGAGGUGUAGAGGUUUCUGGAAAGAAAGGAAACGAAGAAUUGUUGCUAUUCUUCAUUACGAUUCUAUUCGGAACUGUCUCAGAGAGGAGAUAGCUCGUAGGAAGGCCAUGUAUCAGCAUAGAAUCGUAGCAUAGAAAAGAGAGUGGUCUAAUUGAAAGCAGCCAUUAAUGUGGCGAAGUUGCUUGUCAAAUUUAAGUUACUUUGGACGACCGUGUGAGGGACAGGUAGGAAGAGAGAUCAUGGUUGCGGAUGACAGGUAUAUACAUGUUUUGUUCCGAUGAUUGAGAAAUGAAAACAUACCAUAUAUAUAUAUAUAUAUGAUGGCUUUAGCUAUUGUCUAAGAUUAGUUGUAGCAAAUUGCAUUUUGUAUAUGAAAAUUUAUUUGGUUAUAUUCCAAUGUUAUCAAAAAGGAAAAGAAGGAACUUGUCAAUAGUUGAAUUACAAUUUUGCUGCUUUUUAUUCCUCCAAUUUUCUUCUCUUCUUGGGAAGUUUGGCACUUUUUCUAUAUAUAUGCA
RNAcentral lists this unclassified non-coding RNA (2917 nucleotides) under Hevea brasiliensis (rubber tree). The record is from RNAcentral. Lineage: Eukaryota; Viridiplantae; Streptophyta; Magnoliopsida; Malpighiales; Euphorbiaceae.